CUUAUAUGAUGGAUUUGAUGAAGUAUUCCAAACUAGACUGAUGGAAAUGAUGCCUGGUGGAUGUUUAGGUUUUGUUUGCUUCGAUGAUAUUUACCUCUAUGCCGAGUGACUUUUCCGAGUAUAGUGAGAUCAUACACAUUUUUCAAUAUGUAAAUCAGUAGUACACCAUCAUAUCAGCUUUGAAAAAAACUUUCUUUUUUGCUACCUGUUGCAUUGUCAAAAAAAAAAGAACUUUCUUUUUUGCAUGGGGAAUUCAGACUCCAAAUCUGCACAAGUUAUCUUUUUACUUUGUUUAAGUUUCUCACCGAGUUUUUUCUCCUUGCUUUUCCUUUGUCUCUUCCUUUAAAAUUUCAAACAUUGCCUCAGUUUCUGGUUGCUUUCUCCUUUGAAUUGUUUGUCUUAAUCCAGCCUUAACAGCCCAAUCCCACAUUUCCAUCAGCGGAGAGUGUGUGGACCUUUCACCCUUACUGUUAUACUUGAAUUUAACAAUUUCCGUGUAAUAAUCACACAUUUCCAUCAGUGGAGAGUGUGUGGACCUUUCACCCUUACUGUGUGGUGAGUGUGUGGACCUUUCACCCUUACAAUUUCCGUGUAAUCUUAAAAGUUAACAUGAGCCACCAUCUGGUAUUUGUAGAGAAUCUUGUAUCCUCGUCAUAAGUGAUUAUGCUAGAUUGAUUUAAGUUUCAUAUGGAGUGGGAGUCUUGCAUGCC
Molecule: long non-coding RNA, 710 nt
Filed under: Nicotiana benthamiana
Lineage: Eukaryota; Viridiplantae; Streptophyta; Magnoliopsida; Solanales; Solanaceae
Description: long non-coding RNA (NBEN_LNC008198)
Source: RNAcentral